UUAAAUUGAAGAGUUUGAUCAUGGCUCAGAUUGAACGCUGGCGGCAGGCCUAACACAUGCAAGUCGAACGGUAACAGGAAGCAGCUUGCUGCUUUGCUGACGAGUGGCGGACGGGUGAGUAAUGUCUGGGAAACUGCCUGAUGGAGGGGGAUAACUACUGGAAACGGUGGCUAAUACCGCAUAACGUCGCAAGACCAAAGAGGGGGACCUUCGGGCCUCUUGCCAUCAGAUGUGCCCAGAUGGGAUUAGCUGGUUGGUGAGGUAACGGCUCACCAAGGCGACGAUCCCUAGCUGGUCUGAGAGGAUGACCAGCCACACUGGAACUGAGACACGGUCCAGACUCCUACGGGAGGCAGCAGUGGGGAAUAUUGCACAAUGGGCGCAAGCCUGAUGCAGCCAUGCCGCGUGUAUGAAGAAGGCCUUCGGGUUGUAAAGUACUUUCAGCGGGGAGGAAGGUGUUGUGGUUAAUAACCACAGCAAUUGACGUUACCCGCAGAAGAAGCACCGGCUAACUCCGUGCCAGCAGCCGCGGUAAUACGGAGGGUGCAAGCGUUAAUCGGAAUUACUGGGCGUAAAGCGCACGCAGGCGGUCUGUCAAGUCGGAUGUGAAAUCCCCGGGCUCAACCUGGGAACUGCAUUCGAAACUGGCAGGCUUGAGUCUUGUAGAGGGGGGUAGAAUUCCAGGUGUAGCGGUGAAAUGCGUAGAGAUCUGGAGGAAUACCGGUGGCGAAGGCGGCCCCCUGGACAAAGACUGACGCUCAGGUGCGAAAGCGUGGGGAGCAAACAGGAUUAGAUACCCUGGUAGUCCACGCCGUAAACGAUGUCUACUUGGAGGUUGUGCCCUUGAGGCGUGGCUUCCGGAGCUAACGCGUUAAGUAGACCGCCUGGGGAGUACGGCCGCAAGGUUAAAACUCAAAUGAAUUGACGGGGGCCCGCACAAGCGGUGGAGCAUGUGGUUUAAUUCGAUGCAACGCGAAGAACCUUACCUGGUCUUGACAUCCAC
RNAcentral lists this ribosomal RNA (1003 nucleotides) under Salmonella enterica subsp. enterica serovar Hato. RNAcentral describes it as "bacterial SSU rRNA". It matches the Rfam family "Bacterial small subunit ribosomal RNA", at positions 1 to 991 of the family's 1533-position model. The record is from RNAcentral. Lineage: Bacteria; Pseudomonadati; Pseudomonadota; Gammaproteobacteria; Enterobacterales; Enterobacteriaceae.